GACGAACGCUGGCGGCGUGCUUAACACAUGCAAGUCGAACGGCAAGGCCCUGCUUUUGUGGGGUGCUCGAGUGGCGAACGGGUGAGUAACACGUGAGUAACCUGCCCUUGACUUUGGGAUAACUUCAGGAAACUGGGGCUAAUACCGGAUAGGAGCCCCUGCUGCAUGGUGGGGGUUGGAAAGUUUCGGCGGUUGGGGAUGGACUCGCGGCUUAUCAGCUUGUUGGUGGGGUAGUGGCUUACCAAGGCUUUGACGGGUAGCCGGCCUGAGAGGGUGACCGGCCACAUUGGGACUAAGAUACGGCCCAGACUCCUACGGGAGGCAGCAGUGGGGAAUAUUGCACAAUGGGCGGAAGUCUGAUGCAGCAACGUCGCGUGCGGGAAGACGGCCUUCGGGUUGUAAACCGCUUUCGCCUGUGACGAAGCGUGAGUGACGGUAAUGGGUAAAGAAGCACCGGCUAACUACGUG
Molecule: ribosomal RNA, 468 nt
Filed under: uncultured bacterium
Lineage: Bacteria
Description: partial 16S ribosomal RNA
Rfam family: Bacterial small subunit ribosomal RNA
Source: RNAcentral